Long non-coding RNA from Acipenser ruthenus (sterlet), 1856 nucleotides. RefSeq lists it as uncharacterized. Lineage: Eukaryota; Metazoa; Chordata; Actinopteri; Acipenseriformes; Acipenseridae. The transcript has 4 exons. The record is from RefSeq and is a predicted model, not a curated record.
UAUAUAUACACCCCAGCAGUCUGGAUCAGAACCUCUAGACACAGCACAGCAUUUCUGGAUCAGAAGCUCUGGACUCAGAACAGCAAUCUGGAUCAAAACAGGCACCCCAACAAUGUACAUCAGAAUCUUUUGGAACAAGUGACCAAAAUAUCUGCGAUUAUUGGUCUGGACUAACUGGACACAUACUGCUUUCCAUAAUCGGAAAGUAUCAAAUAUUUGAUAACGACAUCCAAAAUUUGCAGCCAGGAAGCGAAUUAGAAAGUGAGAGAGGUUAACUGACCUGUGCCGCAUCUGUGAAGAGGAAACUUCAGUGAAUGCUUCCCAUGAAGAGGAGGACUGGAUUGCUUGUGAUGGCUGGAGCCUCUGGUUUCAUUUGGCUUGCAUUGAUCCACAAUAUCAGCCAAAAUAUGUGGAACAUUCAUUGGUUUACUGUUGCAAAUGCAUGGAAAAAUAAACUACUGAGUUGAUGCUGGUGGUUAAAGGAAAAAGAUAUUAACAUUUAAAUAUCACACUUGCAAGUUUUCACCUAGGUCGCCAUUUUUUGCGUCACUGGGCCCUGCCUUUCAGUGUAAUCAAAAACAAAAAGCAAGCAAUCUAAACAAACCAAGGCUAAAAACUGCAUUAUCAUAUAUCAGAAUGUGUGUUUCAAUACCAGGAUUUGGUGUUUUUUGUGGUAGCAUCUUAGAACUGGUGUCCUUUUUUAAUACAACUUAUUGGAAAAUGUCUAUGGUUGUUUAAAACCCAUGAGAACACUUUUGGUUUUCUUUACAUUUGGUAAUCGUUGUUUUUAUUACUAUUAUGUAUUGUGGUCAGUGUUUUCAAAAGAGUAAGGCAUGAAAAAUGUGUUAUUCAACAACCUGAGGGCCACUACAGUUCUCCCUGAAAGUUACGUUAUGGAAUACUGUACCCUCCUAUAUACAGUAUUGGGGGACCCCAGGGUCUAAAAAAAAUUGCACACAUAACUCGGAGAACAGUCUCUACACAAACCAGAUGACAUCAUCCCGAAAUGUGUGUGUGUUUUAAUUACAAUGUGAUGGGAUACAGAAUUCACAGCAGCUAUGGAAUACUGUAUUUGAGUGGUUAACAAGGACAAGGCUUAAUCUGCUUAGAAAGCUGGAUAAUAAUUAGGCUGCUGUAUGUUACAGUUACAUGUUUAUGAAGAGUUUAAAGUAUUUCAGCUAUUUUACCCAUAUUUAAAUAUUUUCAAAUAAUAGUUACUUUCUGCAAUCUGUAUUUAAUUAUUUUCAAAUAGUUUAUUUCUGCAAUCUAUAAUUAAUUAUUUUCAGUUAUUUACAAUUUGCAUUUAAUUAUUUUCAAAUAAUAUUUACUUUCUGUGAUAUGUAUUUAAUUAUUUUCAAAUAGUAGUUCAGAACAUAAGAACAUAAGAAAGUUUACAAAUAAGAGGAGGCCAUUCGGCCCAUCUUGCUCGUUUGGUUGUUGGUCUGUGCCUGGUUUAACUAUUGGAACCCCACUAGUGUAAACUCCAAAAUCCCAACUCAAACUUAAAAUGAACUAUACAUUUCUGUCUUGCACUAAUUUUGCUUGCGAACAUGACAGUGUCACGUUGGCCAAAUUAAACAAACGAGGACAAUAAAGCAGACUGAAAUAAAGUUCAAGGUAAUUUACCCUUUUCCAGCUACCAUAAACUGCAAUGACUGUUGUUCAAUACUGAGUGUACUGUACUGUACUCUGUACAUAUUUUCUUUUCCCAUUUGCAUUUUUAAUAUAAGAACAUAAGAAAGUUUACAAACGAGAGGAGGCCAUUCAACCCAUCUUGCUUGUUUGGUUGUUAGUAGCUUAUUGAUCCCAGAAUCUCAUCAAGCAGCUUCUUGAAGGAUCCCAGGGUGUCAGCUUAA